RNAcentral lists this ribosomal RNA (492 nucleotides) under uncultured bacterium. RNAcentral's name for it is "partial 16S ribosomal RNA". It matches the Rfam family "Bacterial small subunit ribosomal RNA", at positions 29 to 507 of the family's 1533-position model. The record is from RNAcentral.
AGUGAACGCUGGCGGUAGGCCUAACACAUGCAAGUCGAACGGCAGCACAGUAAGAGCUUGCUCUUACGGGUGGCGAGUGGCGGACGGGUGAGGAAUACAUCGGAAUCUACUUUUUCGUGGGGGAUAACGUAGGGAAACUUACGCUAAUACCGCAUACGACCUACGGGUGAAAGCAGGGGAUCUUCGGACCUUGCGCGAUUGAAUGAGCCGAUGUCGGAUUAGCUAGUUGGCGGGGUAAAGGCCCAUCAAGGCGACGAUCCGUAGCUGGUCUGAGAGGAUGAUCAGCCACACUGGAACUGAGACACGGUCCAGACUCCUACGGGAGGCAGCAGUGGGGAUUAUUGGACAAUGGGCGCAAGCCUGAUCCAGCCAUACCGCGUGGGUGAAGAAGGCCUUCGGGUUGUAAAGCCCUUUUGUUGGGAAAGAAAAGCAGCAGGUUAAUACCACGCUGUUCUGACGGUACCCAAAGAAUAAGCACCGGCUAACUUCGUG